RNAcentral lists this unclassified non-coding RNA (327 nucleotides) under soil metagenome. Its description in RNAcentral is "partial contains 5.8S ribosomal RNA, internal transcribed spacer 2, and large subunit ribosomal RNA". The stretch from base 5 to 119 matches the Rfam family "5.8S ribosomal RNA", at positions 40 to 154 of the family's 154-position model. The record is from RNAcentral.
GAUGAGAACGUAGCGAAAUGCGAUAAGUAAUGUGAAUUGCAGAAUUCAGUGAAUCAUCGAAUCUUUGAACGCACAUUGCGCCCCUUGGUAUUCCGAGGGGCAUGCCUGUUCGAGCGUCAUUAUAACCCCUCAAGCUCAGCUUGGUGUUGGGGCCUGCUGCACUGGCAGCCCUUAAAAUCAGUGGCGGCGCCAUCUGGCUCUAAGCGUAGUAAUUCUUCUCGCUAUGGAGUCCUGGUGGAUGCUUGCCAUCAACCCCCAAUUUUUCUAUGGUUGACCUCGGAUCAGGUAGGGAUACCCGCUGAACUUAAGCAUAUCAAUAAGCGGAGG